UACGAAGGGUGCAAGCGUUACUCGGAAUUACUGGGCGUAAAGCGUGCGUAGGUGGUUCGUUAAGUCUGAUGUGAAAGCCCUGGGCUCAACCUGGGAAUGGCAUUGGAUACUGGCGACCUAGAGUGCGGUAGAGGGGUGUGGAAUUCCCGGUGUAGCAGUGAAAUGCGUAGAUAUCGGGAGGAACAUCUGUGGCGAAGGCGACACCCUGGACCAGCACUGACACUGAGGCACGAAAGCGUGGGGAGCAGACAGG
Molecule: ribosomal RNA, 253 nt
Filed under: uncultured bacterium
Lineage: Bacteria
Description: partial 16S ribosomal RNA
Rfam family: Bacterial small subunit ribosomal RNA
Source: RNAcentral